Non-coding RNA from Caenorhabditis elegans, 628 nucleotides. The record is from Ensembl. Lineage: Eukaryota; Metazoa; Nematoda; Chromadorea; Rhabditida; Rhabditidae.
AGAAGCGUCUGAAUUCUCAAAAAUGGAGGUAAAUAAUCGUAUGAACAAUCUACUUGCGACGAAUUGGUCAAAAAUUGAUGCAGAAAAACGUAUAAAUAUUCUACUCAUUGCUUUAUUCUUCUCAAUUGUUUUUUCCUGGUCUCUUAACGGUAUUUCACUUUUUGUGCCACAAUGGAAUGUAAUUCCAUAUACCGGUUCUUGAUAUACAGUACCAGCUGGUUUCUUUCCGCCAAAUUUUCUGAAGUAUCCGUCAUACUUCAGUGUGGUCACUUUGAUGAUGAUUCUAUCGUUUUGUGCAACUGUGACUGCUGCCUUAUUCUACAUUUUUUCUCUAUUUGCAACACUUCGCCGUUCGAAUCGUGCAUCCAAACUCGGUUUCCUGAUCAUUGCGGGUCUCAUGCCGUGCGCUGGAAUUCUUCAAAUACUUUCGUUUAUUAUUAUUGCAAGUGAAUUCGGGUAUAACUGGAAGGAAAUAAAAAUGGGAGCCUGUGAGUAUCUGGCACUUGUUUCAGGACUAGUCGACUGCCUAGUGGUUGUUCCACUGUCGAUUAUUCUAUCAAGGACUGAUUUUAAAAUUCAGGUUCAUACCAAAAAUCCAUCUCUGAGCUCGUCGAGUGAACGCUUUUAA